Molecule: long non-coding RNA, 316 nt
Organism: Tupaia belangeri chinensis (Chinese tree shrew)
Lineage: Eukaryota; Metazoa; Chordata; Mammalia; Scandentia; Tupaiidae
Exons: 4
Source: RefSeq, a predicted model, not a curated record
UCUUGCUGCUUUAGGGCGGCAGAAAGGAGGGGUGGUGGAUCCAUAGCUAGGAUGACAGCAUCGGUGGUAGUAGACCUCAGCGGGUCUCAUGCGAAGGUUCUGGGUGAUGGCAGUUUGGGGGUCACUGGAUUGCAACAACUGCCUCUGCCGGCAUUCCCAACACUGAAAAGCAAGCCAUUAGAUGCUGAGAGACAUCCUUAAAGGCCUCUCCAGUACGAGCAGUGGACCAAAGAAAAUGAGAUUUCCCCACAAUGCUUUCAAGACAAAGGAUAGAAAUUAAUAUAGUAUAUCAUCCACUCCAUCACUGCUGUCCCUA